Molecule: long non-coding RNA, 3072 nt
Organism: Columba livia (rock pigeon)
Lineage: Eukaryota; Metazoa; Chordata; Aves; Columbiformes; Columbidae
Exons: 3
Source: RefSeq, a predicted model, not a curated record
GAAACAGCAGCCGAGUGGGGUACCUACAGCCGGAGCGGCAGGAAGAGGAGGGGCCUGCGGGCAGGGGGCCGGGCCGCCUCUUGCCGGCCGCGGAAUUCUGCACCGGCCCGGCCCGAGCAGGUUCCUCGGAGUUCCUUACGAGCAUACUGAGAAAACAGGACUUAACUGGCUGCAGUACCUUCACCCAGUUUGGAAACUAUGAGCUACUUCACUACAGGAAAGACACUGAGUUUUUUGCCCUCCUUCAGUGGAUUGCUCUACCAUUAACUUCCCCAGCCUCUGUGAAACUACAUCAACUCCAGCCCUUGGCAAGUAGUACUGUAGGUCCACUGCCGUUUUUAGGAAGCAUCCUCUUGGCACGUGUUGAAGUUGAGGCUGAUUAGCUCCAGUUGCCACCACCCUUGCUCUUCUUGCUCUUGCAUGAGGAAGGUGAACCAUGAGUUCCAGCACAUGCUCUCUGCCCUGCUCCCGACUGUCUUCCUCUAUAGGAGCCUCUGAGUGGGAUGUUCAGAGCGGAACCUUUUCAGAUCUCCCCGACCACUGCAUUACUGACCUGCUGAAGAAGCACCUAGGCCUCUGGGAGGAAGGCAACACUGAGUGACAGCAGCCUUUCUUGACUGGAUGCUGCAGGGAACGGGACUGGCUGUGCCAGAGUGCCUCACAGAAGUCUUUGUAUUGUUUCCUCUACUAUCUGCCAGGGACAGGUUUGAUAGAUUUUUCUCAUAUGUAAUAUGAUCAUUUAAAAUCAUUGCAUAAUAAUAUAUGUCCAUCUAAAGCUUACUUCAUUUUAGAAGGUAUUAGAUACGAAUCCCUACCAGUGACAAUUGUUUCCUUUUUUUUCUUAAUAUGCACUUUCCACAAUAUUUUUCAUUUAACUGUCUUAACUUUUUGACCAAAUAAGAAACCUAUUUUAUGGGCUCACUAAUUUGAGACUAAAUAGGAUGAAACUGAAGAUACUAUCCGAUAACCUUUGUAAAUGUUUGCUUUGUAUGUUUCUCAGGAAGCUUCACAAGCCAAUUAUUUCAGUUUCCAUAGUGAGCCCGUUUUGAUGUCUUCGCCAUUCAACACACAUCCUGUUAAGAGUUGUCAUUAACUCUGUUGUCUUCUUUGUUCUGUAUGGUGUCAAGCACUUUGACAGCGUCCAAAUCAAUACUAAGUAACAAUGGAUGUUUUUUUAGCCUUAAUUCCAGGUUUAGCUAUCACGGAUGAAACUGUCAACAGAUCAGAAGAAUGCAGGAGCUUUUUCUUUCCUUGGUGGUUUCAGGAGGCUUAGCAUCUGUGCUAUCCAGACUGGCUUUUAGCAUUUGGUCCAGAAACCUCUAUGUCCUGCUAUAAAACAUAAUUUUUUCUGAGAGCAGGAAAGGCCACAGUUAUUAUUAAAUGCCUGAAGUAAACAGUUAACAUCAUUCACACUUGAGAUUUGUUUUAAUGCAGUAGAAUAUAUUCAAUGGAAUGGUGGAAAGUAUUCUACAAGCACUGAAGUACCAAAAGAAUAUAAUUUCAAAUGAAAAGCAAUACUAAUCCUGAUGGAUUAGAACCAUAAAUUAUGUAUUUUUAAAACACCAGCAUUCUCAGAAACAAUCAAGCAUACGGCUGUAAGCACACCUCUAUUUAUGCCACCUAUAUCUGCCUCCUUUUAUACCUUUAUUCCUGGUCUGAGACAUGUGGAAUGAGACAAUACUUGUCUACCAGAGAGGUAGAAAAGCAGCAAAGGAUUUUUUGCCUCCAUCAGCAGAUUCAUCUUUGCUUCCGCCUGGAGCAGAUGAUGCCUUUAGAAGUUGCCAGCAGCUGGAGGCAGGGCAUAGCUGAUCAAUACCAGGCCUGGGCCUGCUGUGCUCCUGUUACUUGUGUAUUUUCUGGUGAGCAGCUGGUAGGAGAUGCUUGGUCAAAAGUCCACUGAGGUGUGUCUGGCUGAGCUUCAGGUAAACUGGUGUUUCAAGGGGACAUCCAUGUAUUUAAUAUUGUCAGGUCAGCAUCUCACAUUCUUCUUAGAAGCUGUUAAGCCUAAAACUUUUUUCUUUUUUUUUAAAUAACUGAAACUCUAAGGUGAAGAGGUGACUCCUGAACACCUUAGAAUGGGUUUGUGUAUUUUUUGUUGCUCUAUCUGCAUAUGCAAGAAGACAAUGUUUCCCUUCUGGGCUUGAUCAAAAGGGAAAAUUCUAGUAGAAGCGCAGCUGUGUGUUCUCUCCACCAGCAGUUCUGCAGAACUUCUGAGGUGGGCAGAGAGGAUCUCUAGUGGUUCUGGCUCACUUGUCUUCUCUUUUAUUUUCCAGUUUCCAGUCCCACGUAUUCAGACCAAGACUACCUAGAAGAUUUGUCCCCAAGAGGUAAGAUCAGUGGGCAAAUCCCAGAGCAUGUUUUGUAUCACAAGUAAAUAAAAAUUAAGCUAACCAUUCAUUUUCACUUUAUAUUUAUUAUUAGGAGAUACAUGCUUGGUAAGGUUUUACAGUUUUCCCCCUAUUGCUAAAGGUGCUGCAUUUUUCUUCUAAACAAUUAAACCACAUGGUUUUAGGAUUGUUGACAGAGAAAAAAGGCUGCAUUUGUAGUGUCAUCAAGAGCACACUUCCAGUAUCAGUGACCCUUCUUGGCAGAUUCUAAUUCAGGAACCUGGCAAGGAAGCUGACUCAGAGAUAAUAAGGAGUAAAAAGGUUGUAAAGAUGAACUACAAACCAAAAGCAAGGAAGAGCUAAAUCCACUGUGGUGGGCUGAAUUUCUCUUAGCAUUCUGUAGUAGUCUGUAAUAACAGCCACGUUUUUACUUACCUUUUAUAGCCCUUUUUUUUUUUUUUUCCACAAAACCUAGGUGCUUAUCAGUUUGUGUAAGAAUCUCAUUUAAUUUUUGAACAAAGAAUAAAAAUUGUCUCAACUUAUUACAACUGCUUGACUCGAAAAUAUUGUAAAUGUUGAGUGGCUAGUCCCCCAAAUAUUCACAAAGUAAAGAGUAUGUUUUAUAAAAAUCAUCUUGAGAUAACUAUUCUAAAAGAGUGAUUCUGGGGUAAUGAAAUAAAACUACAAAAUAAAUUUCAUUGGUGGACAUAAAGAAAAAAAUAAAGUUUUCUGCUGUUAUCAAAAA